Desmophyllum pertusum is the source of this 89-nucleotide non-coding RNA. NCBI's taxonomy places the organism in Eukaryota, Metazoa, Cnidaria, Anthozoa, Scleractinia, Caryophylliidae. The record is from the annotation of a GenBank genome assembly.
GGCGCGCUCGUGGCCUAAUGGUAUAAGGCGCUGACUUUUAAAUCUGAACUUCGGAACUGAGGGCGAGGGUUCGAAUCCCCCUGGGGUUC